UAUGUAUUACCUAAAAUAUAC
This 21-nucleotide non-coding RNA is filed under the name Caenorhabditis elegans. The record is from RNAcentral. Lineage: Eukaryota; Metazoa; Nematoda; Chromadorea; Rhabditida; Rhabditidae.